CAGCCGCCACGGUAACACGUAGGGUGCGAGCGUUAAUCGGAAUUACUGGGCGUAAAGCGUGCGCAGGCGGUUGUGUAAGACAGGUGUGAAAUCCCCGGGCUUAACCUGGGAACUGCGCUUGUGACUGCACAGCUAGAGUAUGGCAGAGGGGGGUGGAAUUCCACGUGUAGCAGUGAAAUGCGUAGAGAUGUGGAGGAACACCGAUGGCGAAGGCAGCCCCCUGGGCCAAUACUGACGCUCAUGCACGAAAGCGUGGGGAGCAAACAGGAUUAGAUACCCCCGUAGUCCCUGUCUCUUAUAC
Molecule: ribosomal RNA, 301 nt
Filed under: uncultured bacterium
Lineage: Bacteria
Description: partial 16S ribosomal RNA
Rfam family: Bacterial small subunit ribosomal RNA
Source: RNAcentral